RNAcentral lists this ribosomal RNA (520 nucleotides) under uncultured Glomus. Its description in RNAcentral is "SSU rRNA". It matches the Rfam family "Eukaryotic small subunit ribosomal RNA", at positions 569 to 1091 of the family's 1831-position model. Lineage: Eukaryota; Fungi; Glomeromycota; Glomeromycetes; Glomerales; Glomeraceae. The record is from RNAcentral.
AGCAGCCGCGGUAAUUCCAGCUCCAAUAGCGUAUAUUAAAGUUGUUGCAGUUAAAAAGCUCGUAGUUGAAUUUCGAGACCGGCUUACUGGUCGUGCUAUUGUACGUACUGGUAUAAUCGGUUUCUCCUUUCUGACGAACUAUAAUGCCAUUAAUUUGGUGUUUUAGGGAAUCAGGACUGUUACUUUGAGAAAAUUAGAGUGUUUAAAGCAGGCUCACGCUUGAAUACAUUAGCAUGGAAUAACGGAAUAGGACGUUUGAUUCUAUUUUGUUGGUUUCUAGGAUCGACGUAAUGAUUAAUAGGGAUAGUUGGGGGCAUUAGUAUUCAAUUGUCAGAGGUGAAAUUCUUGGAUUUAUUGAAGACUAACUACUGCGAAAGCAUUUGCCAAGGAUGUUUUCAUUAAUCAAGAACGAAAGUUAGGGGAUCGAAGACGAUCAGAUACCGUCGUAGUCUUAACCAUAAACUAUGCCGACUAGGGAUCGGAUGAUGUUAAUUUUUAAUGUACUCAUUCGGCGCCUUAC